Molecule: RNA transcript, 1520 nt
Organism: Arachis duranensis
Lineage: Eukaryota; Viridiplantae; Streptophyta; Magnoliopsida; Fabales; Fabaceae
Exons: 4
Source: RefSeq, a predicted model, not a curated record
AAUGGGACCCUACUUGCCCAAUACGCACCCAAGUGGCCAAGUUCCAACGCUAGGUCACUGCUGUGCUGCUACCUUACUCUUCUCCCCCCUUUUCCUUCUCUCCUCUCAAAGUUUGCCAGCGUCAUUGCCACCACUGGCGUCGUUGCUCCGCUCUCCGCAUCGCUAAUCCGUUGAGUCCGUCCAACUCCGGUGCCAUCACCGUUCUCCAUUUCUCCCCCUGCAUCACUACUCCGCAUUUUUGCCACCAGCGUCUCUGUCACUCGUGUCUCUUUGCCGGCAUCCCUCGCCUCUCCAACCACUUCUUCUCCGUCCCUAGCAAAACCUUAUUAAGAAGCGAAGAGAAAGAGAACCGUAAGUAACAUGCCGAAUUGCAAUGACAAACAACAGAAGAUGUGGCUUUUUCAAACUUGUUUCUCUGUGUAAUGCUUCUCACUCUUUCUCAAAUGCAAAACCUCAUUCGCCUCAUCAAUGAGCACUGCACUCCAUCUCAACUCAAACUUGGGGGGUUUGGUCCUUAUGCCAUACACCAUACUGAUCGAUGGAUUCUAUAAUCACGGGAGACAUAAAACUGCUGAAGAGGUUUUCAACCUUCUCCAUAAUAAAGGUUGGCGAGAUGUUAAAGCAAUUGAUGCUAUGACCAAUGGGCUGUGUAAGGACUAAGGAGGGCUUGUUCGACAAAGCAAUAAGCUUGCUAUCAAAUGGAUGGCAAUGGUUGUGCUCUAGAUGAUAUAACUGCUUUUGCAAUUGUUCAUGCUCUUGAAAAAAAUGAAAAAGAAAAAGCAGAGAUGCUUCUUUGUAAAAUGAUCUUUAGAGGCCUAUUGAAGCGUUAAAAGAAGGUAGGAUUUGGAAAAGCAGCAAGUAUGUUUUUCUUUGCUUUGAAGUAUAUGAAUCUCCUUUGAUCACCACUGUCUCAAAUGCUCUUCAUUCAUCGAACAUCAUGCCUCAAAAUGCAAAAUCAUGGUUGAUUGAAUUUGAUAAUGGGAAUCCAUUCCAGAAUUCGUCCACCAUCCUUUUCUUGUGAUAGUACUUUAAGAGGGGAGUGGAUAUUUUCACUCUCUAAUUGAUAAUGCCACUCUUCUAUUGUAUGGAAUUUCCAACAUAUCUUUAAAGUCCACUAAUUCUAGAAGUAUUAACCUUAUACAUCUUAUUAGAUGAGAUUCGAACAUCGAAACUUCUUGCUAUAGGAUUGUGAAAACCUUAUAUUCAUUAUGUAGUGUAUAGGCUAGAAAGUUCUAGUUGCUAUAAGAGGUUAUGUCAUUGGCUUGAAGUUACUAUAAAUAAAAUACUACUGGAAGCUUUGAAUUGUGUGUACGAGGUGAAUUGUGAAGUGUGAAGGGGAGAGUGAUAAUCGAAGAGUACCAGAGAGUGAGUGAGUCAAGUGCAGGUGUGAGAUGUAUAGAGAGCAAGAACAAUUAAGAUCUAGUGUUUACAUCAUUAGUAAGGCCCGAGUGUAAAUUGUGUCUCUUUAAAUUGUACUCUUGUGUUUAUAAAUUUAAAAAAAUCACAACUUUUGUGUCUCA